CUACGGGUCGCAGCAGUGAGGAAUAUUGCACAAUGGGGGGAACCCUGAUGCAGCAACGCCGCGUGGAGGAUGACGCAUUUCGGUGUGUAAACUCCUUUUAUAUGUCAAGAAAAUGACGGUAGCAUAUGAAUAAGCACCGGCUAACUCCGUGCCAGCAGCCGCGGUAAUACGGAGGGCGCAAGCGUUACUCGGAAUCACUGGGCGUAAAGGACGCGUAGGCGGGUUGGAAAGUCAGGUGUGAAAUCCUACAGCUUAACUGUAGAACUGCACUUGAAACUUCUAAUCUAGAGUAUGGGAGGGGGAGAUGGAAUUAGGGGUGUAGGGGUAAAAUCCGUAGAUAUCACUAGGAAUACCUAAAGCGAAGGCGAUCCCCUGGAACAAUACUGACGCUAAGGCGUGAAAGCGUGGGGAGCAAACCGGAUUAGAUACCCGCGUAGUC
This 439-nucleotide ribosomal RNA is filed under the name uncultured bacterium. RNAcentral describes it as "partial 16S ribosomal RNA". It matches the Rfam family "Bacterial small subunit ribosomal RNA", at positions 339 to 795 of the family's 1533-position model. The record is from RNAcentral.